UACGUAGGUGGCAAGCGUUGUCCGGAUUUACUGGGCGUAAAGAGCGCGCAGGCGGUCGUUCAAGUCGCGUGUGAAAGCCCCCGGCUCAACUGGGGAGGGUCACGCGAUACUGAUCGACUCGAAGGCAGGAGAGGGUAGUGGAAUUCCCGGUGUAGUGGUGAAAUGCGCAGAUAUCAGGAGGAACACCAAUGGCGAAGGCAGCUCGCUGGAACGGUACUGACGCUGAGGCGCGAAAGCGUGGGGAGCAAACAGG
Molecule: ribosomal RNA, 253 nt
Filed under: uncultured bacterium
Lineage: Bacteria
Description: partial 16S ribosomal RNA
Rfam family: Bacterial small subunit ribosomal RNA
Source: RNAcentral